Lethenteron reissneri (Far Eastern brook lamprey) is the source of this 554-nucleotide long non-coding RNA. RefSeq lists it as uncharacterized. Lineage: Eukaryota; Metazoa; Chordata; Hyperoartia; Petromyzontiformes; Petromyzontidae. The record is from RefSeq and is a predicted model, not a curated record.
GGGCGACCUCCACCCCCAGCUUCUACUUCCGCUUCCGGUCGGGGCGAAUGGCGGCGAUGGCGGGAAAAAUCUGAACCCUGUCUGUGCCUCCUCGUGGUCGACUCAGCCUGAAGAUGCCGACACGGGGCUCUGUGUGAGGCCAUCCACCUUCAAACAGAAUCUACUCCUUCCCAACAACAUGGACAGCCAAAUCAAGUGGGCUGAGAUCUUAGAGGACUAUGAGGGCCGGGAGUCGUCGUGUCAAUCGACCACGUGGGGGGACAUGGAUAAGGUGGACCCUUUCCCAGGCCAAAGUUGCUACAAGCAUCACUCCCCAAAGUCGGCUCCUUCUGCGCGUGCACCAGCGCCAGCAACAGCACCUACUGGUGCAUGCGCACCAUGAACGAGACGCACAACACGCUGUUCUUCGAGUUCGUCAUCGGCGUUGUUGAGUAUUACGACCUCAACGUUGACCGCUACCAGCUGACAAACACGGCACGCCGCUGCCGCAGCGCGACUUGAAGAGCUUCCAGGCGGAGCUCAAGGACCUGCGGGGCUGCCAAGGGCACAAGCAG